Molecule: ribosomal RNA, 433 nt
Filed under: uncultured bacterium
Lineage: Bacteria
Description: bacterial SSU rRNA
Rfam family: Bacterial small subunit ribosomal RNA
Source: RNAcentral
AACGAACGCUGGCGGCAGGCCUAACACAUGCAAGUCGAGCGAACCCUUCGGGGUUAGCGGCGGACGGGUUAGUAACGCGUGGGAAUAUACCCUUUGGUACGGAAUAGCCUCGGGAAACUGAGAGUAAUACCGCAUGUGCCCUUCGGGGGAAAGAUUUAUCGCCAAAGGAUUAGCCCGCGUUGGAUUAGAUAGUUGGUGGGGUAAUGGCCUACCAAGUCUACGAUCCAUAGCUGGUUUGAGAGGAUGAUCAGCAACACUGGGACUGAGACACGGCCCAGACUCCUACGGGAGGCAGCAGUGGGGAAUCUUAGACAAUGGGCGCAAGCCUGAUCUAGCCAUGCCGCGUGGACGAUGAAGGCCUUAGGGUUGUAAAGUCCUUUCAGAUGGGAAGAUAAUGACGGUACCAUCAGAAGAAGCCCCGGCUAACUCCGUG